RNAcentral lists this ribosomal RNA (302 nucleotides) under uncultured fungus. Its description in RNAcentral is "eukaryotic LSU rRNA". The stretch from base 1 to 113 matches the Rfam family "5.8S ribosomal RNA", at positions 42 to 154 of the family's 154-position model. Lineage: Eukaryota; Fungi. The record is from RNAcentral.
AACGCAGCGAAGGGCGAUAAGUAAUGUGAAUUGCAGAAUUCAGUGAAUCAUCGAAUCUUUGAACGCACAUUGCACCCUUGAGUAUUCUCAGGGGUAUGCCUGUUCGAGCGUCAUUGCAACCCUCAAGCACUGCUUGGUAUUGGAUGCCAUCAACUGUGGUGCAUCUCAAAAGUAUUGGCGGCAGCGUUCAGCUUCUAGUGUAGUAAUUUCUCGCUCUGGAGUUUUUGAGUGCCUGUCUGCUAGAACCCCUAAUUAUUUAAAAGGUUGACCUCGGAUCAGGUAGGGAUACCCGCCGAACUUAA